AUUUUCCUUCCUAAAAUGCAGUCUUCUUUUUCGCAGCGACAUCUCCUCAUCUCCGGCAAAUAAAAGCUUUCAGUCCAACCAAAAGCCGCCGGCGACAUCUCAUCAGCAAACAAAUCCCUCCUUCUUCGCAGGCGGCAUCUCCAACUCCGACAAAGACCCAAUUUCGGAGUCAGCUUUUUGUUUGUGAGCUGUGCCCGCCAUUGUGGAUGCGUUUGCUUAUGCAGCCUCAGAAGCUUGUUUGACGGCAUAAGCACAAUCUGAUUCCCGUUCCUACAAUAGCAUUUCCAACAAGGGUGAAGAUUCCUCAAGUAUUUCCAGAGCUGCCGUUGCCAGGAAAGCAGGGGAGCCAUUAGUGAUAGAGGAAAUAAUAGUUGCCCCUCCAAAAGCCCGUGAGCUUCGCGUUCGAGUCUUGUGCUCCGCCCUCUGCUUCAGUGACAUCCAUUUCUGGAGGCUCAAAGUAUGAAUCUCAUGUCCUCUAAUCACACGCAGAUCAGCAUAA
Coffea arabica (coffee) is the source of this 499-nucleotide non-coding RNA. The record is from RefSeq and is a predicted model, not a curated record. Lineage: Eukaryota; Viridiplantae; Streptophyta; Magnoliopsida; Gentianales; Rubiaceae.